This 484-nucleotide ribosomal RNA is filed under the name uncultured bacterium. RNAcentral's name for it is "partial 16S ribosomal RNA". It matches the Rfam family "Bacterial small subunit ribosomal RNA", at positions 30 to 507 of the family's 1533-position model. The record is from RNAcentral.
AUUGAACGCUGGCGGCAUGCCUAAUACAUGCAAGUCGAGCGGACGAAGGGAGCUUGUUCUUGGCUUCAGCGGCGGACGGGCGAGUAAUGCCUAGGUAUCUGCCUGGCAGUGGGGGAUAACGUACGGAAACGGGCGCUAAUAUAGCAUACGUCCUGAGGGAGAAAGUGGGGGUUCUUUGGAGCUCACGGUAUUUGCUGAGCCUAGGUCGGAUUAGCUAGUUGGUGAGGUAAAGGCCUACCAAGGCGACGAUCCGUAACUGGUCUGAGAGGAUGAUCAGUCACACUGGAACUGAGACACGGUCCAGACUCCUACGGGAGGCAGCAGUAGGGAAUAUUCGGCAAUGGGCGAAAGCCUGAUGGAGCAAUGCCGCGUGAGUGAAGAAGGUCUUCGGAUUGUAAAGCUCUGUAAUUUGGGAAGAAGAACAGUAAAAUAAAACAUGGAUGUUUUGACGGUACCAACAGAAUAAGCACCGGCUAACUUCGUG